CGCGGGGUGGAGCAGUCUGGUAGCUCGUUGGGCUCAUAACCCAAAGGUCGCUGGUUCGAAUCCAGCCCCCGCUA
RNAcentral lists this transfer RNA (74 nucleotides) under Fidelibacterota bacterium. Its description in RNAcentral is "tRNA-Met". It matches the Rfam family "tRNA". From Rfam's summary of the family: Transfer RNA (tRNA) molecules are approximately 80 nucleotides in length. The record is from RNAcentral. Lineage: Bacteria; Pseudomonadati; Fidelibacterota.